AGAGAGAUGGAUUCAGCGCCAUUGCCCAGCAGAGCUGCAAACUCAGUCAGAGAAACACGAUGUCGAGGUAGAGAGAGAGAGAGAGAGAGAGAGAGAGAGAGAGAGAAGAGAGAGAGGAGAGAGAGAGAGAGAGAGAGAGAAGAGAGAGAGGAGAGAGAGAGAGAAGAGAGAGAGGAGAGAGAGAGAGAGAGAGAGAGAGAGAGAGAGAGAGAGAGAGACCAGGUUUAAAGAAUAAGACAAUCAGAAAAGAAACAGAAAGGCCAGACAGAGAGAUGCACAUAGAAACAGAGGGAUAAGGGGACACUCCAUGGAGGAAGGGAAGGAAGUGGGGAGAGAAAGAGAGUGAUGGAGGAAGAGGAUGGAGGGAGGGGAAGUGAGAUAUGGGGAGAUCUGGGAGGAGGAAAUAAAAAUGGUGAAAGAUUCUUAAGCUGAGCUGGAGAAGAGAGAAAAAUAUUGAGAUAGAAACAGAGAGGGUCUGGAAGGAAGAGAGACUGUUACCAGGAGAUGGAGGCUGAAGAUGUGGAAGUAGGAAUACCCUGAAAUCCUAAGACAGAGGAAGAAGUGAGAAAGGGAUGCGGAGAGAUGAGAAACACAGAGAAGCCCAGAAGCUAAGAGGGACAAAAAGACAAAUGAAGACAGAGAACCAGGGCUGGAAAACAGAAACCCAGGAUGUCCUUAGAGAUGGAGAGAGAGGGGAAAGAGGAGACUCCAGUGAGAGAGAAUAAGGAGGUGGGGCAGAGAGAGGCAGGGAGGAAUCAGGACAGGGACGCUGGAGACAGGUGAGGGAUACACAUGGAGAGGCCACAAUGAAGGGAGAUGGGGAGGGAAGACCAGACUGGGGACUCUGCCUUAGCCUCCAGUUGGCAGGAGAGUCAGGGAGAAGGCUGGGAACACUGAGACCUUCGUGUCCACCUGGCCACCUUCCCCCUCUUGGGCACCCCCUCACCAUAGCCUUUGAAGACCCAGUCGAAGGUGGCUUGCUCGCCUCGCCCGCUGAACUCCUCAGCCUGGUCCACCAGAGCCUCCCUGACGGCAUCAUGUCCACACAGCACCACGACCCGCCGGGGCCCCAAGUGAAUGGUGAACACGGGGCCAUAGCGCUCACUGAUCUGAUGGAGGUGGGUGGGAGUGGUUAGAGGGAGAAGCCUCCACUCUGAAUGGGGCCCAGCACCGAGAUGUCAUGUGCUGGGAUGCUUCGCACCCAGGUUCUCACAGUCAGGGAGCUGGACAUCCCAAGAUCCUGUCUUUCUGAUGCUGAAACUCCAAAACUCCAUUUCCUAAGACUCUGGUCCACACUGGUCAACCCCCUGCCACAAAGCCCCAGCCAACUAGGCAGCCCCCACCCCGUGCCACCCAUCUCCCUGCCUUGGGACACCUUCAUGAGGGAGUUGUACAUCUGCUCUGUGUUCAGCUGCAGGUAGUUUCCAAUGAAGGGCAAUGGGGUGGGUCCCGGAGGCAGCUUCCCCUUGCUCUUCCUCUGCUGCCAAACAGACAUCAAGACCAUUACAGUCAGGCAGACCAGCAAGGCCACCAGAAGCAUCCCUGAGGCCAGCAUGGUGGUAGUGGGAUGAUAGAUGGUGACGGCUGGGGUGGUUUGCCUUUAUACUGCCUGAAAAAGAGGGAUGGACUUUGGCUGAUUACAUAAUUACCUCAUUUCACCUCCCAACUACAUGCCCCACCAUGAAUCCUGCCUAGCUUGGGACACAGCCAGCAAGGGAGGAUAAGGGGACCCCAGGGCAGCUGAACAGAGAGGGGGCCUCCAGACUAAAUCUGUGGUACUUCAGGAGGGGUGCCGCAGGGCUGUGGAUUUAGGAGGGGGCAACAGAUAAGCUGUAGAACUGAGGAGUUUGGAAUAUUUGCAUAGGGGAGCACUUGGGCUUUGGAUUUGGGGUCUGAGAGUGAGAAUGCACCCCAAAGUUGUGGAUCUGGGGGUUCCAGGGGAGAGGAAUCCAAAGGUCUGGGUUUUAUUAGGGUAAGACAAAGUGUGGCUGUGCAUUUAGGGGUCUUCUGUUGUGGAGGAUGCAGGGUUAAGGGUCUCAGGAAGGGGGAUUCCAGGCAUAUGGACUUGAAAGUCUCGGGGCUAGGAAGACCCAGGGCUGUGGGUGUGGAGUUUCUGGGAGGAGGAGUGUGUAGCAAGCCCAGCGGGUUCUCCCAGAAAGCCCAGCAGCCCAGCACUGGGUCCAGGGGCUGACUUGAUUUUGCUUUUGCCCAGAGCUGUCUCUUGAUGCCCAGAAUCCUCAUUGGAACCUCAGAGUGAGGCCAGGAUGGGUGCCAUAGAACCUCCACUGCCCAUCUCUGAUUGGGAAGGGGAGGAAGACCAGAGCCA
Molecule: long non-coding RNA, 2326 nt
Filed under: Homo sapiens (human)
Lineage: Eukaryota; Metazoa; Chordata; Mammalia; Primates; Hominidae
Description: HSALNT0397942
Source: RNAcentral